Molecule: long non-coding RNA, 492 nt
Organism: Eurytemora carolleeae
Lineage: Eukaryota; Metazoa; Arthropoda; Copepoda; Calanoida; Temoridae
Exons: 2
Source: RefSeq, a predicted model, not a curated record
UCUGUUCAUCGUCAGAAUCUUGUUCCUUUCCGACAACAAAGCUCUUUUAGAAAUGUUUCAGGAGAAUGAAUGGCUUUCUUUUCCAAUACGGGAAGACGACAUUCAACAAUACCAGAGAGAAACUGAGGAUGUCAACAGGCCUGGGAUCCCAGCCAGUCAACAUUUGGCCUUCUUUAAGGUUUCCUGAAUAACAACCCUGAAUAACAAGGAACUGGUAGCUCCUACUAAUCUGAAUACUAUAAUGCUGCCCCCACCAACCAUCCUCCUGAAGGUGUAAACCCUGAAUAACAAGGAACUGGUAGCUCCUACUAAUCUGAAUACUAUAAUGCUGCCCCCACCAACCAUCCUUCUGAAGGUGUAAACCCUGAAUAAUAACAAACUGGUAACUCCUACUAAUCUGAAUACUAUACUGAAGAACACUGAAGAUCAAAUAAAAUGAUUGAAUAGGUACUGUUAAUAUCAAAAAUAUAAAUAAAAAGAACAAUAUUUUUA